Molecule: unclassified non-coding RNA, 239 nt
Filed under: Glomus sp.
Lineage: Eukaryota; Fungi; Glomeromycota; Glomeromycetes; Glomerales; Glomeraceae
Description: partial contains 5.8S ribosomal RNA and internal transcribed spacer 2
Rfam family: 5.8S ribosomal RNA (bases 1-71)
Source: RNAcentral
GUGAAUCAUCGAAUUUUUGAACGCAAAUUGCACUCUUUGGUAUUCCGGAGAGUAUGCCUGUUUGAGGGUCAGUAUAAUUAAAAAUCGGUGUGGUUGAUGACUUUAGUGGUGACGUAGCGGACUUGGGUCGUGUUGGUUUGGGUUAAGUGACCUAAACUUUCGGAUGAUUUUUUUUGAACGUAUUUAAAUGAUUUUACGUACGUUUGCGAUAUGGAAUACUAGGUGUGGUAGUACUUAUG